RNAcentral lists this transfer RNA (79 nucleotides) under uncultured Anaerotruncus sp. RNAcentral's name for it is "tRNA-Ala(ggc)". The record is from RNAcentral. Lineage: Bacteria; Bacillati; Bacillota; Clostridia; Eubacteriales; Oscillospiraceae.
GGGGGCAUACCUGAUGGUUCGGGAGAGCGCUUGAAUGGCAUUCAAGAGGUAGUCGGUUCGAUCCCGAUCGUCUCCACCA